GACGAACGCUGGCGGCGUGCUUAACACAUGCAAGUCGAACGGAAAGGCCCUGCUUUUGUGGGGUGCUCGAGUGGCGAACGGGUGAGUAACACGUGAGUAACCUGCCCUUGACUUUGGGAUAACUUCAGGAAACUGGGGCUAAUACCGGAUAGGAGCUCCUGCUGCAUGGUGGGGGUUGGAAAGUUUCGGCGGUUGGGGAUGGACUCGCGGCUUAUCAGCUUGUUGGUGGGGUAGUGGCUUACCAAGGCUUUGACGGGUCGCCGGCCUGAGAGGGUGACCGGCCACAGUGGGACUGAGUUACGGCGCAGACUCCUACGGGAGGCAGCAGUGGGGAAUGUUGCACAAUGGGCGGAAGCCUGAUGCAGCAACGCCGCGUGCGGGAUGAGGGCCUUCGGGGUGUAAACCGCUUUCGCCUGUGACGAAGCGUGAGUGACGGUAAUGGGUAGAGAAGCACAGGCUGACUACGUG
RNAcentral lists this ribosomal RNA (468 nucleotides) under uncultured bacterium. RNAcentral describes it as "partial 16S ribosomal RNA". It matches the Rfam family "Bacterial small subunit ribosomal RNA", at positions 28 to 507 of the family's 1533-position model. The record is from RNAcentral.